CCUGGUGGCUCAGACGGUAAAGCAUCUGCCUGCAAUACAGGAGACCUGGGUUCGAUCCCUGGGUCAGGA
RNAcentral lists this transfer RNA (69 nucleotides) under Ovis aries (sheep). It matches the Rfam family "tRNA". Rfam says of the family: Transfer RNA (tRNA) molecules are approximately 80 nucleotides in length. Their secondary structure includes four short double-helical elements and three loops (D, anti-codon, and T loops). Further hydrogen bonds mediate the characteristic L-shaped molecular structure. tRNAs have two regions of fundamental functional importance: the anti-codon, which is responsible for specific mRNA codon recognition, and the 3' end, to which the tRNAs corresponding amino acid is attached (by aminoacyl-tRNA synthetases). tRNAs cope with the degeneracy of the genetic code in two manners: having more than one tRNA (with a specific anti-codon) for a particular amino acid; and 'wobble' base-pairing, i.e. permitting non-standard base-pairing at the 3rd anti-codon position. The record is from Rfam by way of RNAcentral. Lineage: Eukaryota; Metazoa; Chordata; Mammalia; Artiodactyla; Bovidae.